CGAAUGGGGAAACCCAGUGUGACUCGUCACACUAUCAUUAACUGAAUCCAUAGGUUAAUGAGGCGAACCGGGGGAACUGAAACAUCUAAGUACCCCGAGGAAAAGAAAUCAACCGAGAUUCCCCCAGUAGCGGCGAGCGAACGGGGAGGAGCCCAGAGCCUGAAUCAGCAUGUGUGUUAGUGGAAGCGUCUGGAAAGGCGCGCGAUACAGGGUGACAGCCCCGUACACAAAAGCGCAUGUGCUGUGAGCUCGAUGAGUAGGGCGGGACACGUGGUAUCCUGUCUGAAUAUGGGGGGACCAUCCUCCAAGGCUAAAUACUCCUGACUGACCGAUAGUGAACCAGUACCGUGAGGGAAAGGCGAAAAGAACCCCGGCGAGGGGAGUGAAAAAGAACCUGAAACCGUGUACGUACAAGCAGUGGGAGC
RNAcentral lists this ribosomal RNA (425 nucleotides) under Salmonella enterica subsp. enterica serovar Enteritidis. Its description in RNAcentral is "partial 23S ribosomal RNA". It matches the Rfam family "Bacterial large subunit ribosomal RNA", at positions 115 to 580 of the family's 2925-position model. The record is from RNAcentral. Lineage: Bacteria; Pseudomonadati; Pseudomonadota; Gammaproteobacteria; Enterobacterales; Enterobacteriaceae.